This 1281-nucleotide ribosomal RNA is filed under the name Triticum aestivum (bread wheat). RNAcentral's name for it is "partial small subunit ribosomal RNA". The record is from RNAcentral. Lineage: Eukaryota; Viridiplantae; Streptophyta; Magnoliopsida; Poales; Poaceae.
AUGGAAUUUAAAGUCAAGGCGGCUGUUGGCUCUGUUGCACCUCCUGAACCUGGCUCAACUUUUCGGUGCCGGCCGAUUCCAGAAGGAUAUGCUAGGGUGAUGGUGGAUGAAAUCACAAAAGGAUUUGAGGACCUCCAGCUUGACCACCCUACGGGUGACGGGGAGACUCGGCUGGGUUCUUAUCUGAAGACUCCAUGCCUAUGGCGGAAGGAGCUCAUCAACCUUCCGAACUGGACGCCUCCGCCUCCUCCUUCUCCGGCGAGUCAGGGCACUCUGCCUCCUCCACUGCCUCCUCCUCCGGCGAGUGAUCAGGGCACUCAGCCUCCUUCUCCGGCGCGUGGCGGCACUCCACCUCCUUCUUCGCCUGCGCCGGCGCGCCCGAGCAGCCACCAGCCUCCUCCUUCUCCGCCUCGCCAGCAAGGGUGGAAGAGACCCGCCGCCGCCCCGGCUGCUCCAGCGCGUCGUAGUCCUUCUCCUCCGCCUCGUAAGCAAGCACGAAAGAAAACAGCCGCAGCCGCUCCGUCUGCUUCAGCGUCUAGCAGUACAGCCAGAGGCGGGAGGCAAUACAAAUUUGGUCCACCUCUCAAGCCUCUAGAGAAGUUACCAUACGAGAGGACCGUGGAAGAAAACGCGAAGAUCGUGGAAAAAGAAGUGAAGGACUUCUUUGAAGGGAUGAAAGCAAAUAUACAUCCAUCUCCGGAGGAGAAGGUAGACCGGGUGAAAGCAAAGCGCACUAUCGAUGCCCUGAGGAAACCACCAAAGUCUCCGCUGAAAAACAACUAUGAGCGCAUUACUGCAAAGGUAUAUAUAAAAGCAGAGCGGUCGGGAAAUACUAUCAGUGAUCGAAGGUUAGCAGAACGACGAGUUGAGAAAAAAAUUGUCCAGCUCGGCGAACAAGAGGACCAAUCGUGCCCCCCGCUCAAGGUGUCUAGCGAUAUCGUCGCUAAUGAUCCGAGGAUGGUGCCCGGUUAUAGCAAUCUUGAAGAUUACCUGCCCGACGAUGUACAUUAUAAUUUCUUGGAGGUGGAAGAACACCAAUACCAUUACGGGAAGCCUCUUGUCAAAGAUGAAAAUCCUCUAACAACGAUGAUGCGAAGAUUCCAUGAUUGGUACAUGAAAACCUACAGAGAGUCUGGGGGGACGAAUACUUUGUAUCUGAGAGUUAAAGAGGAGCACGACCUCGUUGGAAUUGAUUUGUUAACUGUUCCAUUUGAGGAGCUCUUCCAGUGGUUCAAUCAAAAGGCCCUCGAUAAAUUAAUGGUCACUUGCUACUGUCUGUAA